UUACUGAAAUAGAAGACCCACUCUGCUGGGCUUCACUUUUCAAAUUCAAACACCAUGUGCACUGUCUGGGUGAACACCUUGCCUUGUGCAAGGCUACUAGCCCUCUAUUUUUUUUUCAAAACACAGGUCAAUGCAUGUGCUAUACAUAUAAAGAAAUAAAACUUUCAACAACGGAUCUCUUGGCUCCCGCAUCGAUGAAGAACGCRGCGAAAUGCGAUAAGUAAUGUGANUUGCAGAACUCAGUGWAUCAUCGAAUCNUUGAACGCACCUUGCACUCCAUGGUAUUCCGUGGAGUAUGUCUGUCUGAGUGUCAUGAAACUCUCAACCCUCUCACUUUUGCUUGUCAAUGUGCUUGGGCUUGGAUCAUGAGUGCCUGCUGGACCUGCGCAUCAGCUCACUCUAAAUGUAUUAGCGGUUUGCUUGUCGUAUCCCUGCAGCUAGAACCGGCGUAAUAGGAUUUAUUCGCUGGGGUGUUGCGGUCGUGAUGGUUGCAUGGCUUACUGCUCUUGCCAUAUAUUCUAAGUGUUUGGCCUCAGAUCAGGCAGGACUACCCGCUGAACUUAAGCAUAUCAAUAAGCGGAGGAAAAGAAACUAACAAGGAUUCCCCUAGUAACGGCGAGUGAAGCGGGAAGAGCUCAAAUUUGUAAUCUGGCUGUUUUGCAGUCCGAGUUGUAAGCUAGAGAAGUGUUAUCCGUGCUGGACCACAUAUGAGUCUGUUGGAAUAUAGUGUCAAUGAGGGUGAGAACCCCGUUCAUGAUGUGGACUACCAGUGCUUUGUGUUACACUCUCAAAGAGUCGAGUUGUUUGGGAAUGCAGCUCAAAUUGGGUGGUAAAUUCCAUCUAAAGCUAAAUAUUGGCGGGAGACCGAUAGCGAACAAGUACCGUGAGGGAAAGAUGAAAAGCACUUUGGAAAGAGAGUCAAAUAGUACGUGAAAUUGUUGAAAGGGAAACGCUUGAAGUCAGACAUGCUUGCGGGGUUCAGUCUUCGGAUGUACUCCUCCGCUUUGCAGGCUAGCAUCAGUUUUGUGGGCUGGAUAAGGGCAUGAGGAAGGUGGCAUCUUCGGGUGUGUUAUAGCCUCUUGCUUGAUGCAGCCUAUGGGACUGAGGAUCGCAGCGCGCCGUAUGGCAAUGGGCUUCGGCCUUUACGCGCUUAGGAUGCUGGUAUAAUGGCCUUUAAACGACCC
Molecule: ribosomal RNA, 1184 nt
Filed under: uncultured Atractiellales
Lineage: Eukaryota; Fungi; Basidiomycota; Atractiellomycetes; Atractiellales
Description: eukaryotic LSU rRNA
Rfam family: Eukaryotic large subunit ribosomal RNA (bases 528-1184)
Source: RNAcentral